AUGAAUCCGUGUUCCUCUUUGUGGAGAUCUCCUUCCACCUGCCCAGCACCGUACAGCCAUGUUGGGCCCGCUGCCUCCUGGCUUCUCGCGGGCCUGGCUGCAGCCUGGUGCAGGGCCAGCCCUUUCUGCGCCAGGAGGCCAUGGGGGGCUUCUGCCAGGGCUCUGCUCUUUACUGCUGGUCUACUGACUGCUCUGGUCCUGUGUUCUUUGCUGCUGAGAAACCCGAAGAUGUCUUCCUGUGCAAGCCGAAGGAGUGCUUGGACUUCUGAAAGGUUUCAAGCAAGUCAGUAUCUUGCUAAGCAAGAGAGAGAAUACCGGAUAAAUAAGCAUGUGUCCUGCGGAAAUAGCUGCUCAGACACUAAAGGUUAAAAUAAGUCUUUGGUUGUGUACAGACAUUCUGCAAAUGAUAAGAUUAUAUGAGCUACCAAUUAAAUUAUAAAAUUAUAAGCUACCACUGAAAGGGUAGCUUACCUGUUUUUUUUUGUUUUCCCCAAUAUGAAUACUGCAACAUGCAGAGGCCGUUGAUAAUUGAAUUAGAACCAUGUCUACACUUGUAACACCAUUGCUAUAAGGAUCUUAAUUGCCUAUUACUAAUUUCUAUUAAAAAAAAAAAAAAGGCUUAACAAGACCACAGAUGAAGUUUCUGAAAAGCCAAAGAGUUUAAGUCUUAACCUGAAGUGAGCCCUAGCACAAGAUUUCAGGCCAAGUCAGAAUCUGCCUAUUCUUAAAGUCCUAGGCAUGCUGUUGAGAUGCUGUAAAGAGAGACGGGUACAAAGGCAAAGCCAGUUUCCUUUCCUUUUAUCUUCAAAAGAAGCAUGAUAUCAGCUUCACCUUGAGCUAGACUUUGCCCUCUGAUCUGAUAAAAUCAUUAUUUGCCACUAAGAUACAGGAGAAUUCUCCUACCUGCUCCUGCACCCCUGCUGUGCACAGUGGCAUUCUGUCUUCAGUUAUGGCUCAUGUGGAGCUGCGCCUUGGUGUCUAGCAGCUUCUGAGUGCCAGCAGAAGCCUGCUAUGGUACCUGAGAUGGUAUCUGUGAUUAACUUCUCAUACGUGGUGGCCAUAGAGGGCUUGACAUCACAAGUUAAGGGCAGUGAGUGUUUCAUCCUCCAUCCUGAAUCUGCUGCCAUUCACUGACUGAAUUAGAGAGUCAACUUUAGUUUUAUGUAUGAGAGUUGUCAACUGGAGGAAUUAUUAGGCUUUUGUCAUUAAGUGAGACUUAACGAAAAUAUACCAAGAAUCAAUGGUAUAGCUGACUUUUCAGUCAGAAUUAGAGAAAUGGUCAUUAUGAGUACUCACCCCCUCCACUCCUCUCACUUUUUCAUGUGCAGCCCCUCAUCAUAUCACAAGAAAAAUCCUCCCUUGGGCAGAGCAGUUGACAGCAGCUCCUUGAUCUGCUGAUUCUGAUCCCAGCAGCAUUCUGAGCAAGGGGGGAAAAACAAGUGUGUUUGAGCUGUAACAAACUGAGUUGUGGUACCUACCAGCAUUUAAACUGAUUGUCUUUCAAAAUAUUUAAGUAUGAGCAGGUGUUCAUGUAAAUGGUGGUUCUCUAAUUUGUCUAAUAAUGUUGAUUUUUUUUUCCUGCUCCUAUUACUGACUUCACUGUUUUGCUGUUGGCAUCCAGAUUGAUGGUCAGACCAUUGUUUUUAGUUCAUCAAAAGGAAUUGUUUUAUCUAAUAACAUCCAAUAAUGACAUUUAUAAUUUUCUGCAUGUAAAAGUCACUCAAAGGAGUUCUGCAUGCAUGAGGUAAAAUACAUGACUGAGGGAGGUAACCAUAUAGAUGACCUAAUCAGCUCAAGCUGUUCAAUGAAAUAAGCAGUGUGAUGUGUUGGAAAAUAUAGGUAGCUUUUCACUGCUGGAAACUGCAAGCUAAAGAAAGUGUCUUUUAAAGUUCUUUUUAAUAUUUAUAGUGGAUCUACAUAUAAAGAUUUUGUAACCAAGCAUAUAUGCUUUAAGGUACGCAGCAAACUGAGUGCAUUCCUGGCAAUAUCAUACAUCAUAUAUAGAGUAUGCACUCAAAGGAGAGCAGUAGGUCUGAGCAGCUUAUUUUUAACUGGUGGUGUUAUCGUAACAGAGGUAGCUGGGCUAUUUACCCGAGUAGCAAGAAUUUCUUUGGUUUGGCCAACCGUGCCUUGCAGUCACAGAAACUGCAGGUAAGGAGGGAGAAAGUGCGACAAGGAUGGCUGCAGAGCAGCUUUUUGUAAACCGCCAGUUCUGAGGCACAUGAAGGGCUUGAGCAUUGCUGCUUGUCUUCUUUGCCCUGAGCUGGCCCCAGUCGCUACGUGCUCAGGCAGCAGAAAGUCUCUGGAUUUCAGUGAAAUCCAACCAUAUACCCUUUCCUGACUUCUGGCUGCCUCCUGCAAAGUGAGUGGCACAGAACAAGCUCUGUGGGCCUCAAACAUCACAAGGCUUUCAGAAUAGCGUUUUUCCUUGCUAUCUGUAUAAGGCGAGUCAGCCCAGUCGGGAUGCCUGUUUUGGUCCGUGUUAUUCUAAACUGUAUCUGACCUGCUAUGUGAGUUGGUGUGGGGGAUCACGGUGAGCAGGCAAUGGGGGACCCAUCUCCUCUUCCAGGACUCAGUGGGAUUAUGGCCCUAAGCUAACAGUUACGCUGAGCUGACCAGCCACCCAUUUCCUUUUCCUUGGUUUACUUUCUGGCAAGGAUUUUUAUUUUAAUAUUUAGUUUUGAGGAAGUGUUAUAAAUAGCAAUAGUAACUGAUAGCGUGCUAAUGCAACCAAACUGCAUUUCACUCACUUUUACCAGGACUACUUUGAAACUUUGGUUUUCAAAAACAACCUUAACUGCUGCUGCCCAGAGAGAUAGGGAAUACAACAGAGGAUGUGACCUUUCUGAAUGUUUUCUUAUCAGGCAGCGUAAGUACUGUAUGUCCCACUAAGCUGCUUCAAUAGAACCUUGUCAAGUUAUCACACUACUCGACAUGUUGCUGAUAAUGAAUACAUAAAAGCUUUAGAUAUUGAAGACUCAGAGGAAAUAAAUAAGAUUUACUGAAAAACUGCUCA
Molecule: long non-coding RNA, 3016 nt
Organism: Anser brachyrhynchus (Pink-footed goose)
Lineage: Eukaryota; Metazoa; Chordata; Aves; Anseriformes; Anatidae
Source: Ensembl